CUACAAAGUGAAAGUCGCCAGUA
RNAcentral lists this non-coding RNA (23 nucleotides) under Arabidopsis thaliana (thale cress). The record is from RNAcentral. Lineage: Eukaryota; Viridiplantae; Streptophyta; Magnoliopsida; Brassicales; Brassicaceae.